This 469-nucleotide ribosomal RNA is filed under the name uncultured bacterium. RNAcentral's name for it is "partial 16S ribosomal RNA". It matches the Rfam family "Bacterial small subunit ribosomal RNA", at positions 28 to 507 of the family's 1533-position model. The record is from RNAcentral.
AACGAACGUUGGCGGCGUGGAUUAGGCAUGCAAGUCGAACGCGAAUCCCUGGGCAACUGGGGAGGAGAGUGGCGAAAGGGGCAGUAAGGCGUGGGUAACCUACCCUCCGGGCCGGGAUAGCUUCGGGAAACUGAAGGUAAUACCGGGCGACGCAGCGAGAUCGCAUGGUCUUGCUGCCAAAGGUCCGCCGCCGGGGGAGGGGCUCACGUGGUAUUAGCUAGACGGCGGGGUAACGGCCCACCGUGGCAAAGAUGCCUAGCAGGUGUGAGAGCACGACCUGCGCCACUGGCACUGAGACACUGGCCAGACACCUACGGGUGGCUGCAGUCGAGGAUCUUCGGCAAUGGGCGCAAGCCUGACCGAGCGACGCCGCGUGUGCGAUGAGGGCCUUCGGGUUGUAAAGCACUGUCGAGGGGGAGGAAGCCGCAAGGUUGACCUAUCCCUGGAGGAAGCACGGGCUAAGUUCGUG